This 29-nucleotide non-coding RNA is filed under the name Mus musculus (house mouse). The record is from RNAcentral. Lineage: Eukaryota; Metazoa; Chordata; Mammalia; Rodentia; Muridae.
UGCAGCCAGCUUUGGAAAUGCCCAGCCUU